UGAGUGAAGAAGUAUUUCGGUAUGUAAAGCUCUAUCAGCAGGGAAGAAAAUGACGGUACCUGACUAAGAAGCCCCGGCUAACUACGUGCCAGCAGCCGCGGUAAUACGUAGGGGGCAAGCGUUAUCCGGAUUUACUGGGUGUAAAGGGAGCGUAGGUGGUUCGGUAAGUCAGGUGUGAAAGCCCGGGGCUCAACCCCGGGAUUGCACUUGAAACUAUCGGACUUGAGUGCAGGAGAGGUAAGUGGAAUUCCUAGUGUAGCGGUGAAAUGCGUAGAUAUUAGGAGGAACACCAGUGGCGAAGGCGGCUUACUGGACUGUAACUGACACUGAGGCUCGAAAGCGUGGGGAGCAAACAGGAUUAGAUACCCUGGUAGUCCACGCCGUAAACGA
Molecule: ribosomal RNA, 390 nt
Filed under: uncultured bacterium
Lineage: Bacteria
Description: bacterial SSU rRNA
Rfam family: Bacterial small subunit ribosomal RNA
Source: RNAcentral